CCAUGCAUGUCUCAGUACAAGCCACAUUAAGGUGAAACCGCGAAAGGCUCAUUAAAUCAGUUAUGGUUCCUUAGAUCGUACCCACAUUUACUUGGAUAACUGUGGUAAUUCUAGAGCUAAUACAUGCAAACAGAGUUCCGACCGGAGACGGGAGGAAUGCUUUUAUUAGAUCAAAACCAAUCGGCGGCGGGCCUCCGGGUCCGUUCGCCGCUCAACUUGGUGACUCUGAAUAACUUUCGGCUGAUCGCACGGUCUCGCACCGGCGACGCAUCUUUCAAAUGUCUGCCUUAUCAACUGUCGAUGGUAGGUUCUGCGCCUACCAUGGUCGUAACGGGUAACGGGGAAUCAGGGUUCGAUUCCGGAGAGGGAGCCUGAGAAACGGCUACCACAUCCAAGGAAGGCAGCAGGCGCGCAAAUUACCCACUCCCGGCACGGGGAGGUAGUGACGAAAAAUAACGAUACGGGACUCAUCCGAGGCCCCGUAAUCGGAAUGAGUACACUUUAAAUCCUUUAACGAGGAUCAAUUGGAGGGCAAGUCUGGUGCCAGCAGCCGCGGUAAUUCCAGCUCCAAUAGCGUAUAUUAAAGU
RNAcentral lists this ribosomal RNA (587 nucleotides) under Senilites tristanicola. RNAcentral describes it as "SSU rRNA". It matches the Rfam family "Eukaryotic small subunit ribosomal RNA", at positions 49 to 610 of the family's 1831-position model. The record is from RNAcentral. Lineage: Eukaryota; Metazoa; Arthropoda; Insecta; Coleoptera; Dytiscidae.